This 402-nucleotide ribosomal RNA is filed under the name uncultured Sphingomonas sp. RNAcentral describes it as "bacterial SSU rRNA". It matches the Rfam family "Bacterial small subunit ribosomal RNA", at positions 355 to 774 of the family's 1533-position model. The record is from RNAcentral. Lineage: Bacteria; Pseudomonadati; Pseudomonadota; Alphaproteobacteria; Sphingomonadales; Sphingomonadaceae. RNAcentral also lists the same sequence under 1 other name.
UGGGGAAUAUUGGACAAUGGGCGAAAGCCUGAUCCAGCAAUGCCGCGUGAGUGAUGAAGGCCUUAGGGUUGUAAAGCUCUUUUACCCGGGAAGAUAAUGACUGUACCGGGAGAAUAAGCCCCGGCUAACUCCGUGCCAGCAGCCGCGGUAAUACGGAGGGGGCUAGCGUUGUUCGGAAUUACUGGGCGUAAAGCGCACGUAGGCGGCUUUGUAAGUUAGAGGUGAAAGCCUGGAGCUCAACUCCAGAAUUGCCUUUAAGACUGCAUCGCUUGAAUCGCGGAGAGGUGAGUGGAAUUCCGAGUGUAGAGGUGAAAUUCGUAGAUAUUCGGAAGAACACCAGUGGCGAAGGCGGCUCACUGGACGCGUAUUGACGCUGAGGUGCGAAAGCGUGGGGAGCAAACA